UUUAAAUGUAACCAUGAGUUUUCACGUCCAACUUUAAUCGUUCGUCUUAUUUAAAAAAAAAUUAAUUAGUAUUUUAUUGUUAUGAGAUGACAAAACAUGAAUAUUACUUUAUGCGUGACUUACAUUUUUAAUUUUUUUUAAAAAAAGUUUAAAUAAGACGGACGUUCAAAGUUGGGCACGGAAACUCAUGGCUGCACUUAAA
This is a non-coding RNA of Oryza barthii, 202 nucleotides long. Lineage: Eukaryota; Viridiplantae; Streptophyta; Magnoliopsida; Poales; Poaceae. The record is from Rfam.